Molecule: non-coding RNA, 3110 nt
Organism: Coturnix japonica (Japanese quail)
Lineage: Eukaryota; Metazoa; Chordata; Aves; Galliformes; Phasianidae
Source: RefSeq, a predicted model, not a curated record
GGAGAUUGCCUCAGCAUUUCCCAGCAAAGGCAUCUAUAUUGGACUGACAAUUCUGUUUGCUGGAAGAUGCACUUGGGAAGGUGUGUGUUGGAUGUUCUCAAACCAAACAAGAGCAACGCUUCAGUCUCUACGAGUGAUACAAGGCAAAGAAAGAGAUGAUGCUGAAUGACACUGGAAGACACACAGUUAAAGCAAGCAAAGAAAAGUAUGCAGAAAGGCACUGAGGAAUACCAAGAGAAUCUGUGACACUCUACUAAGUCAAGUCAGUCUGUAGUAUCCCUGAAUGUCAGUGGGAGAAGGAGAAUAAUGAGAUGCUACAGUGAAGUGAAACCUGUCCUGAGAAAUCAUCAGAGGAAACUUUCUUACCUUCCUUGCCAUUCCUUCUUAUAUUUUAACACCAAAUGAAGCCACAGUGUAUGUUUAUGAAGAUUAUUUCAUUCCUAGCAACCAGAAAACACAAAUGUUAACUGUUCUGAUAUCCUGCAAAUCUGUUACACAUAACAUCACAGAACUGUAGAAAGUUUUGCAGGUUUUUAAACAAACGUGAUAACAUUUGGAGAGUUACACAGUAUUAUCUUGUAUAAAUUGAAUGGUAGAGAGAUGAGCAUUCAUGGAGAUAAUAUUAAUAUCACACUUAUGCCCUUCACAUUUCAUUACACCACUAACACUCCUCUAGUGUAAAUGACAUCCAAACUUCAUAUGUUAAUAUGGUUAAGAUAUGGGGCAUGCCCUUCCACAGUAGAAUACUUUAGUUUGUUUUCAUCCUCUUAUUACUUUACAAUUGGCAUAAGUGACUAGUUCUGAGAGUUGCAUCUGAAUUUUCAUUUGGAUGAUAUUCAGCAUAUUCUUUAAUGAAUAUUUUUUACCUUUUCAACUUUACCAUUGGAAGGACAUGCUUCUGUGUUCUGCUUCUACCAGUGGCAUUUUAUAAAGCAGCAGGAAUUUUGGGUUUUGUUAAUGCCUAUGGUCAAAUGCAUAAAAAUGCUGAAGAUUUCCUCUAGUGUUCUCUUCUAUUUGAUAUGAUACAUGCAAGAGUCUUGCAUAUGUGAAAUAACAGGAACAUUUUUUUAAUGCUUGAAGCCAGCUGGAAAAAGAUAUUUCAUUCUUUCCUUUUAUUUUGAUAUCACAUGUUUCAAAAUGAGAAAAUUUCCAUUAUUAUCAGCUUUAUAGGUCAUGCAGGUAACUGAAAUAGCAAACUGAAACACUGCCAGCUCAUUAAAAAUCUUUCUUUAUGAAGAUGGCUACUGUUACUGCACUGCAAUUUUAUAUGGAAACUAAAAUAGGUUGAAUAAUCAAAACGAUACUAUUUCACGGUUGCAUUGAUAUUUCACCUAUUUCAGUUGUGUAGGUUAGUAUAGGGAGUCAUUUCUAAUGAAUCUGAAGGCUACUGGGUUGGCCACAAACAUAAGAUCCUAGAAGUGUGCCAACAUCAGCAUCUCAAUGGUGAGAGGAACAAAAAUGAUAACGAUGAAAUGGAAAACUGGUACAUGGUAUUGUAGAAUCGAAGCUAAUAAGUGGAGAUAAAAGACAGCAAAAUUAAAAAGCUGAAAUGAGAUUUGAAAACAGUAAUCCUGAAAGUAAAUAUUUUGUGUUUUGUAUGUUGAUGCAAUGUAUCAGAUAGGAAGUAAUGCUGGAUAAGCAGAGAAAGUGAAUGUUAAGAAUAAACUAGCUGUCUCAUGAGAUCAACUCCUGGGUGGAGGGUGGGGGGUAGAAGGAACAAGUUCACCUACAAAUUUCAGAACCUUUAAAAUCCAGGACAAAGAAGAAUCAUGUGGAAGUGUUACUCUGAGGAUUUAAAAUGGGUUAUGAAAUUCAGAGCAGUCAUCUCUGCAGUGUUACUUAAUAAGCAUAGGUCAUUCCAGAUCCCACUUCUCUAAACAGUGUGGUACUGUGGUAGAUUAUGUUGUAACACAGAAAAUUGUUGUUAGCGAGUAAGUACUGGUAACUGAGUUUACUAAGUGGUAAUAGAAUUAAAUGUUGAGGGCAAACAUAAGCUACCUGAAAAUGAAAUCCUUUCAAUAGACAGGAAUUUAUGUGGGAACUGACUAUAGGAAUAUAUAGGUGUAUAUAUAGGUAUAUAGGUAUAUAUAGGUAUAUAGGAAUAUAGGUAGAAGGCUCCUGAAUGAAGUACUGAGAACACAACUGAAUAAAACACUAGGAUUAUGUACUCUGUACCACCUGAUAUCCACAAAGCAGGAGGAGCAUGUCCUUAGACCUCAACUGUUUCUGGUUUCUUCAACUUUAAACAAAAGUUGUUGAGAAUACCUACCAUUUCAGUUCAUGGUGCUGGCUUCUGUGUCUGAACAAGAUAUUAGCAACUUCAGCCAUUAAUUAAUUAAGUAAGACAUUACUUAAUAGUAAUGUGUUAAGUACUUAAUAAUAAGACAUUAAUUAAGAAUUAAGUAGGUAUUCAAAUUUACUUAGGAUAAUGUGCGGUGAUACUGUUUCAUAGUUCGUUUGCAAGCAGAGGGGUUAAUUAGAUAGCAUUAUGAAUAUUCAGAUUUUAUCAUUAACCAUGCUGCAAUUUGCCAGUUGGUCAUAUGAAAGAUUGUGCUUCAAGACAGACUCUUCCAAAAUUUACACAGUCAUUAUGAACAAGUGGUCUUAGUGUCGCUGUAGGAAGUAUUACAACAUGACCAUAAUGAUAGAAUGAUCAAUUAAUCUAUGUGCAAUUAAUAAAAGAGACAGAAAGAUGAGCUGAAAGUCAAACUCUGUCAAACUCAAACCCCUUUGUCUAAGAAGCUCUAGGUGUUUGUUUCCAGGUCUGUCUGCAUGACGUGACCCUGCAUCCUUUUGUCCUUUUGCUUUUCUCAAGGCCCUGACUCUAAGCCUGGUUAUUCUUCACCUGACAUCAUGCUUCUUCAAAGGCAUAUGAAGGUCACACAGUCCUCUGCUGUUGGGAUGUUGAACUGACAGAGCAGUGCAUGUUUCUUGCAGUAUUGUAAAGUGGUUAGCAAUGCCAGGAUUCCACGUACAGCAUCCUGCACGCGCCUCACUGUGUGGGUUACACACCAAACCUUUCCCAAAAGGGGAGUAACAGGAAAAGUAUCAGCAUGUAACUCUGUAAGACCCUUUAGAAGAGCAACAUGAGCUGUCAGUGUCUGUUUUAG